Molecule: ribosomal RNA, 372 nt
Filed under: uncultured organism
Description: partial 16S ribosomal RNA
Rfam family: Bacterial small subunit ribosomal RNA
Source: RNAcentral
GUAGGUGGCAAGCGUUGUCCGGAAUUAUUGGGCGUAAAGCGCGCGCAGGCGGUUCUUUAAGUCUGAUGUGAAAGCCCACGGCUCAACCGUGGAGUGUCAUUGGAAACUGGAGAACUUGAGUACAGAAGAGGAAAGCGGAAUUCCACGUGUAGCGGUGAAAUGCGUAGAGAUGUGGAGGAACACCAGUGGCGAAGGCGGCUUUCUGGUCUGUAACUGACGCUGAGGCGCGAAAGCGUGGGGAGCAAACAGGAUUAGAUACCCUGGUAGUCCACGCCGUAAACGAUGAGUGCUAAGUGUUAGGGGGUUUCCGCCCCCCUUAGUGCUGCAGCUAACGCAUUAAGCACUCCGCCUGGGAGUACGGCCGCAAGGCUG